UUCUAGCUUCAAGGCUACUUUCCAUGAAUGUUACUGUUGUUUCUGCUACCGGGUAUCCUGAUGCAACUCCUUUCCUUUAGAGCAACACAAAUAUAAUAACUCCAGGACCAAAAGGAAAAAUACGCUGGACAAAGUUCAGGGUUUUCCACCUGUGCUUACUGCUCAAACAUUACAAACUAAUCCCACAACAUUAAGUGAGAAUGUUCUGGAUGGCAACUUAUCCAUGGGGUCCAACAGAUUCUAAGAAAAAACCAAAGUGAGAAUUGAAAGGCUGCAAAGCAAGAAAUGUGCAGCUGGUUUCUGGCAUCUAUAGCCUGAUAGCUGUUAGACAUACUGGGAGUGUAAGAGGAAAUCUAACCGCUAAUGAAGGUUAAACUAUUUCAUCCCAUAUUUUUAUAUAAUGUAUCUAAAACUCCAUUUUGAGUUAAGGUGGGACUGACCAAAUGGUGCAAAUGAGAUGUUAAAUAAAGGUUAGAUGGUGUAAAUCCCUGGGGAUGCAACUAUAUUUAUAUUGCAUUGUGCACAGUACGGUGAUUCAUGGUAAAUGGAACCUGCAAACAAGAGCAAAACUUGUAAUAACACAAUAGAAUACAAUAGGAUAGGGAAGGUAUGAUUGUUGAUCCAGCAUUAUUUUAAAAAAUGCUUUUCUCAUUCAGAAUAUCAUUUACAGGCAUCUAGUACUUAAAAAUAAGUUUGACCCUUCUUGCUCCAUAGUUUAAAAAAAA
This is a long non-coding RNA of Xenopus tropicalis (tropical clawed frog), 725 nucleotides long. RefSeq lists it as uncharacterized. The transcript has 2 exons. NCBI's taxonomy places the organism in Eukaryota, Metazoa, Chordata, Amphibia, Anura, Pipidae. The record is from RefSeq and is a predicted model, not a curated record.